AGCAACCAGAGGCAGGAAAGGAAAAAUGGGAAGGUUUUCUCAGAGUUAACUUUCUCUAACCUUGAAGCCGAAUCCAGGGGCAGGAGCAGGAGUCAACUCUGAGAAGACGUGAUAGAGCUUCAGCAACAUGGAGAGGAGAUAGCCGGUCUGGCUAGGAUGGAAGAAAUGUACAUGGAGAAGAAAGACAGAAGAACCAUCACUGAGCACUAAACUAAUCAGCCAUAAUGUGCAGAUUGACUGGCAAGCCUAUCACCACCUUGAUAACAGAUGACAUUAAAGAGAAAGUAUCAAUGUGAGGAUUAAAUGGGAUGAAAAAUAAAACAUCUGUCGGAGUGCCUGGAAUAUGGUACACAAAUAUCCAAGAUUGGAAAGAAGAAAGAAAAUGACGACAGAAUUUUGCAGUCUACAAGGCAAACACUGCCAUUCAUGUAGUUAUGGAGUUCCUACUAUGUGCAGACAAUGGGAAACUUUACGAAGGAACCUCGACGUAGCCUGUUCCCAAUGCCCUCUGUGGAAUCAGCCAGGUCCAUGCCACAAGUAUGAAUUGUUUCCAGUGCGGCAGUCCUGGGAGUGCCUGAGCCACAAGCCAGUGUCCCCUACUCAGUUGUGCCCUGUGGGGACUGAAGCAGGACUAUAUUCUCACAGGCUCUCCUAAAAGCUGGGCUGCCAGCUUCUAGCUCUACUCCUUUCUCAAAGUGGCCCAGGCCAUCUCUCAGACCAAGGUGGAUGGAGCAGCAUCAGCCAUGGCUCAGGAAUGCAGCCGCCUACUUUCCUGUUAUCAGCAGGCAUUCCUGUGGUUACACUAUUCCUGCUUAGCUUAUCAAUGGCCCUUGGGAACACAGAGUCAGCACCCAAAGAGGGCCAGAACAGCCUGCUUGUUGGACGCCCAUCCACACCAUGAGGCUUUCCUGGAUGUAGAGGGAAGUUACUGUUCCUCGGGAAAACCCCUCUUCCCAGCUGGGUUUUAAAAAGCAGCAGGUUUAAGAGCUGACCAUAUCUGAAAGACUCUAGAAUAGCAGAGGAUUGAUUAAAGGGACACAGAGGUUCAUGUGAUGUAAUAAGAAAGAAAUAAAGGAAGCUUUAUCUGCCGCUCUUUCAACCUCAUCCACUCAACACUUACCCCGUGACAGACCCCAAUACUCUUAAUGAAUUCCCAAGGUUACGAAAGAACUUGGAAGAUCUUACAUUCCUACAUGGUGAUUACAGAGGCUCACAUUUUGCCAAGUCAUAUGCAGGUGGCUGAAAAAUGUGAUCUAACGUCCUUGAACACAUUUAUUACAAUCCAUCAUCUACAUGGCAACAGUCAGGGCCAUGCUCAUAAACCAGAACUGGUGCUAGAUCUGCACUAAAUGAUAUCAGCUGGUCAAUGUAUCAAUGAAGCUUCUCCUGCAAAAAAUGUCUCCCUUAUUUUGGUUUC
Molecule: long non-coding RNA, 1417 nt
Filed under: Homo sapiens (human)
Lineage: Eukaryota; Metazoa; Chordata; Mammalia; Primates; Hominidae
Description: HSALNT0322861
Source: RNAcentral